Molecule: ribosomal RNA, 494 nt
Filed under: uncultured bacterium
Lineage: Bacteria
Description: bacterial SSU rRNA
Rfam family: Bacterial small subunit ribosomal RNA
Source: RNAcentral
AUUGAACGCUGGCGGCAUGCCUUACACAUGCAAGUCGAACGGCAGCAUGGAAGAGCUUGCUCUUCUGAUGGCGAGUGGCGAACGGGUGAGUAAAGCAUCGGAACGUACCGUGUAGUGGGGGAUAACGUAGCGAAAGUUACGCUAAUACCGCAUACGCACUGAGGUGGAAAGCAGGGGAUCGCAAGACCUUGCGCUGAUUGAGCGGCCGAUAUCAGAUUAGCUAGUUGGUGAGGUAAAGGCUCACCAAGGCGACGAUCUGUAGCGGGUCUGAGAGGAUGAUCCGCCACACUGGAACUGAGACACGGUCCAGACUCCUACGGGAGGCAGCAGUGGGGAAUUUUGGACAAUGGGGCAACCCUGAUCCAGCCAUGCCGCGUGAGUGAAGAAGGCCUUCGGUUGUAAGUCGUCUUCGGUCCGGGAAGGAAAUACGUAGUGGGUUAAGUACCUAGUGUCGGAGUGACGGUACCGGCGAUAAGAAGACGACCGGCUAACCG